AACGAACGCUGGCGGCGCGCUUAACACAUGCAAGUCGAACGAGAAGGCGUAGCAAUACGCUUGUACAGUGGCGAACGGGUGAGUAAUACGUGGGCGACCUACCCUCGAGUGGGGAAUAACCCGCCGAAAGGCGGGCUAAUGCCGCGUACGCUUCCAUCUUUAUGGAGGUGGAAGGAAAGCCGUGCCGUGGGCACGGCGCUCAAGGAUGGGCUCACGUCCUAUCAGCUUGUUGGAGGGUAACGGCCUACCAAGGCUCCGACGGGUAGCUGGUCUGAGAGGACGAUCAGCCACACUGGCACUGCGACACGGGCCAGACUCCUACGAGAGGCAGCAGUGAGGAAUAUUGCGCAAUGGGCGAAAGCCUGACGCAGCGACGCCGCGUGGGGGA
RNAcentral lists this ribosomal RNA (388 nucleotides) under uncultured bacterium. RNAcentral describes it as "bacterial SSU rRNA". It matches the Rfam family "Bacterial small subunit ribosomal RNA", at positions 29 to 408 of the family's 1533-position model. The record is from RNAcentral.